This 495-nucleotide ribosomal RNA is filed under the name uncultured bacterium. RNAcentral's name for it is "partial 16S ribosomal RNA". It matches the Rfam family "Bacterial small subunit ribosomal RNA", at positions 28 to 507 of the family's 1533-position model. The record is from RNAcentral.
GAUGAACGCUGGCGGCGUGCUUAACACAUGCAAGUCGAACGAAGCACCUCUCCCGAUGCUUGACACAGCUUGCUGUAGAUGGAUUCAUUUGAGGUGACUGAGUGGCGGACGGGUGAGUAACGCGUGGGUAACCUGCCUCAUAGAGGGGGACAACAGUUGGAAACGACGGCUAAUACCGGAUAGUAAGAAGAAUUCGCAUGGUUUCUUCUUGAAAGAUUUAUCGCUAUGAGAUGGACCCGCGUCUGAUUAGCUAGUUGGUAAGGUAACGGCUUACCAAGGCGACGAUCAGUAGCCGGCUUGAGAGAGUGACCGGCCACAUUGGGACUGCGACACGGACCAAACUCCUACGGGAGGCAGCAGUGGGGAAUAUUGCACAAUGGGGCAAACCCUGAUGCAGCGACGCCGCGUGAGUGAAGAAGUAUUUCGGUAUGUAAAGCUCUAUCAGCAGGGAAGAUAAUGACGGUACCUGACUAAGAAGCCCCGGCUAACUACGUG